This is a long non-coding RNA of Paramisgurnus dabryanus, 457 nucleotides long. RefSeq lists it as uncharacterized. Lineage: Eukaryota; Metazoa; Chordata; Actinopteri; Cypriniformes; Cobitidae. The record is from RefSeq and is a predicted model, not a curated record.
ACUGACAAGAGUGUAAUGAUGAUGGAGACACAAGCCAGAGAAAGGGGGACCAAACACCAGGCCAGAAUUCUGCAUGAGUCAGAUCCAGUGGGUGCAGAUCAUCAUACAGAUGGUUCAAGUGUGGAUCCACCUAAUAUUCAAGAUUUUCUGUCCUGGGACACUCGGCUGACCAUCAAGAAAGAACACACUCCAGUGGGCAUCCUUUAUCCAUCCAGACCCUCAUACAGAUGGUUGGAGUUUUGAUUCACCUAAAGUACCAUGCAAGAGCACUCAUUUUCCCUCUUGAGACCAUGGUGUGACCUGCAAGGUCGAAUGGAGACUGUAAGCGAGACAAUCUUGGAGUCACCUGCAUUGACUGGUCCAGUUGUUAGUCCAAUUACAGAUGGAGAUUAUAGAAGAGGAUGAUGUCUUUUCUCCAACAUCUUUCUAGACUGAUAAAAGAUCUAGACAGGCUUGA